AAGAUCCAACAAGCCGUAACCGUUUUCCAAAAAAUCCAUUCUUUGAAAAUGAGCCCAUCUCUCAACCCAUGCAUAAGGAUACUUUUGGGGUUUCAGGUUACGGGCACGUUUGAGUUCAUCAUGAUUCGGUUCGGUGAUCGCAUUUUUUGGGCGGUUCUUCCAUUUUUGCAAUUGUUGUGAGAGGCGAUAAGGUUAUCAGAAGGGCUUUGGGAUCGAGAGAAGAGAGUAGAUAGAAGUGGACUUAGCAACCCUUUGCUUUAGAGUUUUCUUUCAAGCUUUAGAAGUACUUAUUUUGAUUUGUCAGGUUACCUUUAGUUUGAUUUUGAAUAAGAUUAACGCCUUUUGGUUUUUUAGUUCCUUUGAUAUCAUUUUGUAUUGUUUAAAAAGU
This is a long non-coding RNA of Erigeron canadensis, 388 nucleotides long. RefSeq lists it as uncharacterized. The record is from RefSeq and is a predicted model, not a curated record. NCBI's taxonomy places the organism in Eukaryota, Viridiplantae, Streptophyta, Magnoliopsida, Asterales, Asteraceae. The transcript is spliced from 3 exons.